RNAcentral lists this ribosomal RNA (301 nucleotides) under uncultured bacterium. RNAcentral's name for it is "partial 16S ribosomal RNA". It matches the Rfam family "Bacterial small subunit ribosomal RNA", at positions 509 to 807 of the family's 1533-position model. The record is from RNAcentral.
CAGUAGCCGCGGGAAUACAGAGGGUGCGAGCGUUAAUCGGAUUUACUGGGCGUAAAGCGUGCGUAGGCGGCUUUUUAAGUCGGAUGUGAAAUCCCUGAGCUUAACUUAGGAAUUGCAUUCGAUACUGGGAAGCUAGAGUAUGGGAGAGGAUGGUAGAAUGCCAGGUGUAGCGGUGAAAUGCGUAGAGAUCUGGAGGAAUACCGAUGGCGAAGGCAGCCAUCUGGCCUAAUACUGACGCUGAGGUACGAAAGCAUGGGGAGCAAACAGGAUUAGAUACCCGGGUAGUCCCUGUCUCUUAUAC